UUAUUGUGGUGGAUGCAAAAUGCUGU
This 26-nucleotide non-coding RNA is filed under the name Mus musculus (house mouse). The record is from RNAcentral. Lineage: Eukaryota; Metazoa; Chordata; Mammalia; Rodentia; Muridae.